Molecule: long non-coding RNA, 1350 nt
Filed under: Monodelphis domestica (gray short-tailed opossum)
Lineage: Eukaryota; Metazoa; Chordata; Mammalia; Didelphimorphia; Didelphidae
Description: lncRNA (ENSMODG00000039461.1)
Source: RNAcentral
UAAGAAUUUGAGCUAGGAGGCACUUGGAGAUAUUUUCAUCUAAUGCAAUUUCCUCAUUUUAUAGAUAAAGUAAUUGAAAACUAGAUAGAGGAAAUCAUUUGUCUAUACCAGGAAAAACCAGAUAGUUUGUGGCAAAGUCAAUAUUUAACCCCAGGUCGUCUGAAUCUAAUACUCUUUCCACCCUAUAAUCCCUCUUUCCUCCAGUUGUUGGUUUAGGUAAGGUAGCUGCCUGUCUUACAGCUCUUAUCACAUGGAAGGAUGUUAGCAUUUCAGAGACCUGGCAUUUCAAACCAGAGAACCAGUCUAAGUCAGCACACCUGUUCUGUGAUAAGGGUUAGAACCUUAACUUGGGUGGGAGGAGAGCGUGAGAAAAUUAGGCCUUAUUUGGACAUAUUUCUCUGCUGACCAAAUUAACAUUUGACUUCCAACUGUUCUUUCUUUCCUUCCUUAACAUUUUCUUAUUUAUAAACAACUAUUAUAUUUCAAAGUGCUAAGUUGGGCUUGAAGGUUCAGCAAGAACAGUUGGAGCACCAAUACAAUCUAUAUCAUGAUUUCCCCCCAAAUAUGUAUUUGUUACUGUUCCUCAUUUCAAAGUGAAAAGAACAUGAAUUAAAAGAAUAAAAGGCAGCCCUGAAUUGAAUACUGGAUGCAUUUUUCACUGCUAUUUUCCUUUCAAAAAUAUGUACUUAUUAUAUGUUUUCUUACGAUUUUGAGCCAAGGAAACAUUAAGAGUCUGUAGAAUUAAGAAGGCAGUUUAACACACUGAUCAUAUCUCCAGUAAUUGGAAUCUGAAAGAACCUGCUGUAAAAGGAUGCAUUCCAACUGCCAUCUGACAAUUCACAUGCUGGUUGUCCCAGGCAUUAUAAGUCUAUUAGGAGAACAAAGACAAUCAAAAAGAGUGGAUAGAGAACACCUUUGCCUUGGGGUAGAUGAGCUGAGGAGGCUGACCAGAGAAAAAAAGGUAAAUGUUCUGGAUUUUUAUUUUGUUUCUGAUUUAUUGGUAAAAUAGCCAUGUGAAAAAAAUAUAGAACAAAAAUGACAAGAAAAAGAACAACAAAAAAAGCAUUUCAUACACAAAAUAAGGAGGUGAUGUAGCGUUUGGUGCCCUUGAUUCAUUCAAGUUACUUGAAAAGAUUGAGAACUCUAAAUGUUGAGGCAUGAGUGGCAUUUGAAAGGUCAUUGAAAAUGAGAGAGAUGUCACAAAACUGGAAAAGGGAAAAUUUCUCAGUUGGAAUAUGUAUGUCUAUCAUAUCUAUGUAUGUACAUAUUCAUAUAUACACACAUAUGAUAAUAUAUAGUAAUGUAUAUAAAUCACUACUAUAAUAAAAGGCAUACAUGUUUAUAGUAGCA